RNAcentral lists this ribosomal RNA (253 nucleotides) under uncultured bacterium. RNAcentral's name for it is "partial 16S ribosomal RNA". It matches the Rfam family "Bacterial small subunit ribosomal RNA", at positions 524 to 776 of the family's 1533-position model. The record is from RNAcentral.
UGCGUAGGGGGCAAGCGUUAUCCGGAUUUACUGGGUGUAAAGGGAGCGUAGACGGCGAUGCAAGCCAGAUGUGAAAGCCCGGGGCUCAACCCCGGGACUGCAUUUGGAACUGUAUAGCUAGAGUGUCGGAGAGGCAGGCGGAAUUCCUAGUGUAGCGGUGAAAUACGUAGAUAUUAGGAGGAACACCAGUGGCGAAGGCGGCCUGCUGGACGAUGACUGACGUUGAGGCUCGAAAGCGUGGGGAGCAAACAGG